Molecule: ribosomal RNA, 157 nt
Filed under: Hymenoscyphus metrosideri
Lineage: Eukaryota; Fungi; Ascomycota; Leotiomycetes; Helotiales; Helotiaceae
Description: 5.8S ribosomal RNA
Rfam family: 5.8S ribosomal RNA
About the family: 5.8S ribosomal RNA (5.8S rRNA) is a component of the large subunit of the eukaryotic ribosome. It is transcribed by RNA polymerase I as part of the 45S precursor that also contains 18S and 28S rRNA.
Source: RNAcentral
AAACUUUCAACAACGGAUCUCUUGGUUCUGGCAUCGAUGAAGAACGCAGCGAAAUGCGAUAAGUAAUGUGAAUUGCAGAAUUCAGUGAAUCAUCGAAUCUUUGAACGCACAUUGCGCCCCUUGGUAUUCCGGGGGGCAUGCCUGUUCAAGCGUCAUU